UAGAACAAUUUAUGAUUAAAAAAAGAUUUAUCAAAUGACUAAAGGAGGUGGCAAUAGUUCUCUUCAUCCAUAACUCAUACCUUGGGUUACAAAAUAACUGAGCUUUUAUCUUCAAUGAAACACAUAGUCCCCUAAGACACAAGGAAUCCAGGAAUGCACAAAAUCACAUAUGGAAGAACAAGAAAAUGGAGUCUCCAUGCCAAGGAGGUGCACAAUUUAAGAAACACACUACUUCCCUCUGCUUCGUGACCACCAGCUGCUUAAACCAACUCCUACUGUAACUUCCCAUCAUGAUUAAAUGAUGAACUUUACCCAGAACCUGUCAAAGAAUUAUUUUAAAGGAGAGAAGUGGAUUGAAAGCAUGCAGAAGUAAAGUUGUGUGAGGAAAAUCAGGACCCAUGUGCUCACACAGAAUGUAUAGUUUUUGACUUGACUCUUGCAUGUGUUGUCUACACUGAUAAGAGAUGUGAAGGUAUUAUUUUCCUCAGAAGAAUCCCAAGCCUUUAACACUCAAGCCCUUAACACUACAUAUGUUACUUUAUAAAUGUUAGCAUUGCCAA
Long non-coding RNA from Peromyscus maniculatus bairdii (prairie deer mouse), 560 nucleotides. RefSeq lists it as uncharacterized. NCBI's taxonomy places the organism in Eukaryota, Metazoa, Chordata, Mammalia, Rodentia, Cricetidae. The record is from RefSeq and is a predicted model, not a curated record.